CUCUACCAUGGCAGCUCUGUAAAGGCCGCAACUAGUUCAAAAUCUCAAGAAGCAAAUUACUAGAUUAGAAGCAUGAAGAUAUUAUGUUUAUGUCUCCUGGCUAUUGUACUGAGCUUAAUGAUUUCAAUGACCGAUGCAAAGAGAAUAUUAAUGGAAGGAAACCACCAUGUGGUAAAGCCUAAGCUCAGGAUAGAGGAGUAUGCACAAGCGGCAUCUGAGGCUGAGAAACAUGCGAUCGAACGACAAUUGCUACAUAAUAAUGUUGUGGAGAAGACCAACAAAAAACAUGAAAACUCAGUGAUCGAUGACGUGAACUAUCAAGAAAAUGGUGAUGUAAACAAACAACCUGCUAACAGUGACGAAAACCGCAGCGCGGAGGGUAUCAGCAACGGCAAUACAGAAAGCAACGAAACUUACAAUCAAAACCGCAGUUCUACCAUUGAUAAUCACCACCAAAUUUCUAUCGAUGAUUUCCGGCGAAUACCACAUGAACCAGGGCCAACUCCCUAAAAGAAUGAAGCUAAUAGAGAGGGAGAAUGACCAGUAGAUAGUGUUUGUGUGAACUUAUAGCAUGGCUUAUAACUGUAUCAUAAUAUCUGUGUUUUUUACAUGAGUGAACAGGUACUGUAUGAGGUGCUUCAUGAACCCCUGGCAGUAGCAUGGUGUUAUGGGGUUUGUAUUGUGACUCGGCAUGGACUUUCAAUAAAGCUUGUCAUUUGUGUGUGGUGUGUGGGAUGUAA
This is a long non-coding RNA of Amborella trichopoda, 740 nucleotides long. RefSeq lists it as uncharacterized. NCBI's taxonomy places the organism in Eukaryota, Viridiplantae, Streptophyta, Magnoliopsida, Amborellales, Amborellaceae. The record is from RefSeq and is a predicted model, not a curated record.